UUGGAGGGCAAGUCUGGUGCCAGCAGCCGCGGUAAUUCCAGCUCCAAUAGCGCAUAUUAAAGUUGUUGCAGUUAAAAAGCUCGUAGUUGAAUUUCGGGAUCAAUAUAUCGGUCGUGCCAUCGGUACGUACUGGUAUGAUUGGUUUCUCCUUUCUGACGAACCAUGAUGUCAUUAAUUUGGUGUUAUGGGAAGUUAGGACUGUUACUUUGAAAAAAUUAGAGUGUUUAAAGCAGGCUUUAGCUUGAAUACAUUAGCAUGGAAUAAUGAAAUAGGACGUUCGAACCUAUUUUGUUGGUUUCUAGGAUCAACGUAAUGAUUAAUAGGGAUAGUUGGGGGCAUUAGUAUUCAAUUGUCAGAGGUGAAAUUCUUGGAUUUAUUGAAGACUAACUACUGCGAAAGCAUUUGCCAAGGAUGUUUUCAUUAAUCAAGAACGAAAGUUAGGGGAUCGAAGACGAUCAGAUACCGUCGUAGUCUUAACCAUAAACUAUGCCGACUAGGGAUCGGAUGAUGUUAAUUUUUUAAUGACUCAUUCGGCGCCUUACGGGAAAC
Molecule: ribosomal RNA, 549 nt
Filed under: uncultured Glomus
Lineage: Eukaryota; Fungi; Glomeromycota; Glomeromycetes; Glomerales; Glomeraceae
Description: SSU rRNA
Rfam family: Eukaryotic small subunit ribosomal RNA
Source: RNAcentral